GAAUUAGACAGGUCUGAUGAAUUAGACAGGUCUGAUGGAUUAGACAGGUCUGAUGGAUUAGACAGGUCUGAUGGAUUAGACAGGUCUGAUGGAUUAGACAGGUCUGAUGAAUUAGACAGGUCUGAUGGAUUAGACAGGUCUGAUGAAUUAGACAGGUCUGAUGAAUUAGACAGGUCUGAUGAAUUAGACAGGUCUGAUGAAUUAGACAGGUCUGGUGAAUUAGACAGGUCUGAUGGAUUAGACAGGUCUGAUGAAUUAGACAGGUCUGAUGAAUUAGAC
This is a long non-coding RNA of Oncorhynchus keta (chum salmon), 279 nucleotides long. RefSeq lists it as uncharacterized. NCBI's taxonomy places the organism in Eukaryota, Metazoa, Chordata, Actinopteri, Salmoniformes, Salmonidae. The transcript is spliced from 4 exons. The record is from RefSeq and is a predicted model, not a curated record.